GAUGAACGCUGGCGGCGUGCCUAAUACAUGCAAGUCGAGCGAACAGAUGAGGAGCUUGCUCCUCUGACGUUAGCGGCGGACGGGUGAGUAACACGUGGAUAACCUACCUAUAAGACUGGGAUAACUUCGGGAAACCGGAGCUAAUACCGGAUAAUAUAUUGAACCGCAUGGUUCAAUAGUGAAAGACGGUUUUGCUGUCACUUAUAGAUGGAUCCGCGCCGCAUUAGCUAGUUGGUAAGGUAACGGCUUACCAAGGCAACGAUGCGUAGCCGACCUGAGAGGGUGAUCGGCCACACGGGAAGUGAGACACGGUCCAGACUCCUACGGGAGGCAGCAGUAGGGAAUCUUCCGCAAUGGGCGAAAGCCUGACGGAGCAACGCCGCGUGAGUGAUGAAGGUCUUCGGAUCGUAAAACUCUGUUAUUAGGGAAGAACAAAUGUGUAAGUAACUAUGCACGUCUUGACGGUACCUAAUCAGAAAGCCACGGCUAACUACGUG
This 497-nucleotide ribosomal RNA is filed under the name uncultured bacterium. RNAcentral describes it as "partial 16S ribosomal RNA". It matches the Rfam family "Bacterial small subunit ribosomal RNA", at positions 28 to 507 of the family's 1533-position model. The record is from RNAcentral.